This 28-nucleotide non-coding RNA is filed under the name Macaca fascicularis (crab-eating macaque). The record is from RNAcentral. Lineage: Eukaryota; Metazoa; Chordata; Mammalia; Primates; Cercopithecidae. RNAcentral also lists the same sequence under 1 other name.
UCAGAGUAUCAGGCUCCUUCUUGCUGUG